RNAcentral lists this ribosomal RNA (253 nucleotides) under uncultured bacterium. RNAcentral describes it as "partial 16S ribosomal RNA". It matches the Rfam family "Bacterial small subunit ribosomal RNA", at positions 524 to 776 of the family's 1533-position model. The record is from RNAcentral.
UACGUAGGGUGCGAGCGUUAAUCGGAAUUACUGGGCGUAAAGUGUGCGCAGGUGGCUUCGCAAGUCGAGUGUGAAAUCCCCGGGUUUAACCUGGGAAUUGCGCUCGAAACUACGGAGCUGGAGUAUGGCAGAGGGAGGUGGAAUUCCACGUGUAGCGGUGAAAUGCGUAGAGAUGUGGAGGAACACCAAUGGCGAAGGCAGCCUCCUGGGCCAAUACUGACACUCAUGCACGAAAGCGUGGGGAGCAAACAGG